Molecule: ribosomal RNA, 253 nt
Filed under: uncultured bacterium
Lineage: Bacteria
Description: partial 16S ribosomal RNA
Rfam family: Bacterial small subunit ribosomal RNA
Source: RNAcentral
UACAGAGGUGCCGAGCGUUAGGCGGAAUCACUGGGCUUAAAGCGUGUGUAGGCGGGCGGGCAAGUACCUUGUGAAAUCCCACGGCUCAACCGUGGAACGGCUGGGUAUACUGCCUGUCUUGAGCCAACUAGGGGCGAGCGGAACAGACGGUGGAGCGGUGAAAUGCGUAGAUAUCGUCUGGAACGCCAAAGGUGAAAACAGCUCGCUGGGGUUGUGCUGACGCUGAGACACGAAAGCCAGGGGAGCGAACGGG